RNAcentral lists this ribosomal RNA (904 nucleotides) under uncultured Eubacteriales bacterium. RNAcentral's name for it is "bacterial SSU rRNA". It matches the Rfam family "Bacterial small subunit ribosomal RNA", at positions 8 to 916 of the family's 1533-position model. The record is from RNAcentral. Lineage: Bacteria; Bacillati; Bacillota; Clostridia; Eubacteriales.
AGAGUUUGAUCCUGGCUCAGGACGAACGCUGGCGGCGUGCCUAACACAUGCAAGUCGAGCGGGGGAAUGGAAUAAGGAAACUUAGGAAAUGACCUAGCGGCGGACGGGUGAGUAACACGUGGGUAACCUACCUUUAGCAGGGGGAUAACACCGGGAAACCGGUGCUAAUACCGCAUAAACCGUAUCAAGGACAUCCAUGAUACGGGAAAGGAGAGAUCCGGCAAAAGAUGGGCCCGCGUCCGAUUAGCUAGUUGGUGGGGUAAUAGCCUACCAAGGCGACGAUCGGUAGCCGGACUGAGAGGUUGAACGGCCACAUUGGGACUGAGACACGGCCCAGACUCCUACGGGAGGCAGCAGUGGGGAAUAUUGCGCAAUGGGGGGAACCCUGACGCAGCGACGCCGCGUGAAGGAAGAAGGUUUUCGGAUUGUAAACUUCUUUGGUCGGGGACGAAAAAAAUGACGGUACCCGACAAAAAAGCCACGGCUAACUACGUGCCAGCAGCCGCGGUAAUACGUAGGUGGCAAGCGUUGUCCGGAAUUACUGGGUGUAAAGGGCGCGUAGGCGGGUUUACAAGUCAGAUGUGAAAAUCCGGGGCUCAACCCCGGAAUUGCAACUGAAACUGUAUAUCUUGAGUGUUGGAGAGGGAAGUGGAAUUCCUAGUGUAGUGGUGAAAUGCGUAGAUAUUAGGAGGAACACCAGUGGCGAAGGCGACUUUCUGGCCAACAACUGACGCUGAGGCGCGAAAGCGUGGGGAGCAAACAGGAUUAGAUACCCUGUAGUCCACGCCGUAAACGAUGGAUACUAGGUGUAGGUGGUUACAAGCCAUCUGUGCCGGAGUUAACACAUUAAGUAUCCCACCUGGGGAGUACGGGCCGCAAGGUUGAAACUCAAAUGAAUUGACGG